Long non-coding RNA from Capsicum annuum, 767 nucleotides. RefSeq lists it as uncharacterized. Lineage: Eukaryota; Viridiplantae; Streptophyta; Magnoliopsida; Solanales; Solanaceae. The record is from RefSeq and is a predicted model, not a curated record. The transcript is spliced from 2 exons.
CUUCUAAAAACGAGUAAUCUUACCAACUUAUUUACUCAGUAUUUUUUUAAUAAAUUUUUCCAGCCCUUAGAUCAUUUUAUUAUCAGCAACAGCAAAAUAAAAGGUCAAGAGGCUCAGUUCUAAAACAAAACCAAAAAAGAUUGGGCCCAAAAAAAGAUCCGAUCCAAAAAAAAAGAGUAAAACGAAUUAUUUCAUAAAAGAAUACAUAUAUAUUCCAUUUGUCUUAAAGAGUACAAAGUACUCUUUCUCUCAUCUUGUCGCCACCUUGCUAGUUGAAACAUGUUGUCGGAGUGUUGCCGAUAAAACUUGCAACUGAAGUUCUUCCUUCUCUGGGUUGUUUUCAAGCUUGAGCCUAAGAUAGUGAUUAUUGAGCUAAAUCUAUCCUAUUCAAUAUUACAUAAUGAGAUUCUUUCUAUACAUUUCUUUCUAUUUUCUUUUUCUUUCACUGAUCCCCAGCUAACAAUAUCGUAGGUGGUCGGGGUUUAACCUCAAGGAACCGUAAAAGAUACAUUGUUUCAAUCAGAUCUCGAGAUACCAGUGGAAUUGAGAGUGUGGCAGGCUCAAUUCUUCUGCAUCUUCAACUGGUGAUUCAUGACAGUGCAACACCCCAAUAUUUUUCCUUUUUGGUGAAGGUUUUUGAUAGCUAAAGCUUUUUAGCCUUAGCUUUUAAUUGCACAAUUAUAAUAUCUUCUUUCGGAUAUUCUCUUCCUUUUUUCAUGUUGUGUUGAUAAUUUUGGAUGACUAUAGUUAUGUAAAUAUUGCUGGUA